This 253-nucleotide ribosomal RNA is filed under the name uncultured bacterium. RNAcentral describes it as "partial 16S ribosomal RNA". It matches the Rfam family "Bacterial small subunit ribosomal RNA", at positions 524 to 776 of the family's 1533-position model. The record is from RNAcentral.
UACAGAGGGUGCAAACGUUGUUCGGAAUUACUGGGCGUAAAGCGCGUGUAGGCGGCCCUGCAAGUCGGAUGUGAAAGCCCUCGGCUUAACUGAGGAAGUGCAUCCGAAACUGAGUAGCUAGAGUACGAAAGAGGGUCGCGGAAUUCCCGGUGUAGAGGUGAAAUUCGUAGAUAUCGGGAGGAACACCGGUGGCGAAGGCGGCUUCCUGGACCGACACUGACGCUGAGGCGCGAAAGCUAGGGGAGCAAACGGG